UACGUAGGGGGCAAGCGUUGUCCGGAUUUACUGGGCGUAAAGCGCGCGUAGGCGGAGUGGGAAGUCCGGUGUGAAAGCCCCCGGCUCAACCGGGGAAGGUCGCUGGAAACUCCCACUCUUGAGGCGGAUAGAGGGAAGUGGAAUUGCUGGUGUAGCGGUGAAAUGCGUAGAUAUCAGCAGGAACACCCGUGGCGAAGGCGGCUUCCUGGAUCCGACCUGACGCUGAGGCGCGAAAGCGUGGGGAGCGAACGGGAUUAGAUACCCCCGUAGUCC
This 273-nucleotide ribosomal RNA is filed under the name uncultured bacterium. RNAcentral describes it as "partial 16S ribosomal RNA". It matches the Rfam family "Bacterial small subunit ribosomal RNA", at positions 524 to 796 of the family's 1533-position model. The record is from RNAcentral.